UGGCGGCAGGCCUAACACAUGCAAGUCGAACGGUAACAGGAAGAAGCUUGCUUCUUUGCUGACGAGUGGCGGACGGGUGAGUAAUGUCUGGGAAACUGCCUGAUGGAGGGGGAUAACUACUGGAAACGGUAGCUAAUACCGCAUAACGUCGCAAGACCAAAAAGGGGGACCUUCGGGCCUCUUGCCAUCGGAUGUGCCCAGAUGGGAUUAGCUAGUAGGUGGGGUAACGGCUCACCUAGGCGACGAUCCCUAGCUGGUCUGAGAGGAUGACCAGCCACACUGGAACUGAGACACGGUCCAGACUCCUACGGGAGGCAGCAGUGGGGAAUAUUGCACAAUGGGCGCAAGCCUGAUGCAGCCAUGCCGCGUGUAUGAAGAAGGCCUUCGGGUUGUAAAGUACUUUCAGCGGGGAGGAAGGGAGUAAAGUUAAUACCUUUGCUCAUUGACGUUACCCGCAGAAGAAGCACCGGCUAACUCCGUGCCAGCAGCCGCGGUAAUACGGAGGGUGCAAGCGUUAAUCGGAAUUACUGGGCGUAAAGCGCACGCAGGCGGUUUGUUAAGUCAGAUGUGAAAUCCCCGGGCUCAACCUGGGAACUGCAUCUGAUACUGGCAAGCUUGAGUCUCGUAGAGGGGGGUAGAAUUCCAGGUGUAGCGGUGAAAUGCGUAGAGAUCUGGAGGAAUACCGGUGGCGAAGGC
RNAcentral lists this ribosomal RNA (696 nucleotides) under uncultured Pseudomonadota bacterium. Its description in RNAcentral is "bacterial SSU rRNA". It matches the Rfam family "Bacterial small subunit ribosomal RNA", at positions 37 to 722 of the family's 1533-position model. The record is from RNAcentral. Lineage: Bacteria; Pseudomonadati; Pseudomonadota.